GAUGAACGCUGGCGGCGUGCCUAAUACAUGCAAGUCGAGCGAAUGGAUUAAGAGCUUGCUCUUAUGAAGUUAGCGGCGGACGGGUGAGUAACACGUGGGUAACCUGCCCAUAAGACUGGGAUAACUCCGGGAAACCGGGGCUAAUACCGGAUAACAUUUUGAACCGCAUGGUUCGAAAUUGAAAGGCGGCUUCGGCUGUCACUUAUGGAUGGACCCGCGUCGCAUUAGCUAGUUGGUGAGGUAACGGCUCACCAAGGCAACGAUGCGUAGCCGACCUGAGAUGGUGAUCGGCCACGCGGGGAAGAAGACACGGCCCAGACUCCUACGGGAGGCAGCAGUAGGGAAUCUUCCGCAAUGGACGAAAGUCCGACGGAGCAACGCCGCGUGAGUGAUGAAGGCUUUCGGGUCGUAAAACUCUGUUGUUAGGGAAGAACAAGUGCUAGUUGAAUAAGCUGGCACCUUGACGGUACCUAACCAGAAAGCCACGGCUAACUACGUGCCAGCCGCCGCAGUAA
RNAcentral lists this ribosomal RNA (515 nucleotides) under uncultured bacterium. Its description in RNAcentral is "partial 16S ribosomal RNA". It matches the Rfam family "Bacterial small subunit ribosomal RNA", at positions 28 to 523 of the family's 1533-position model. The record is from RNAcentral.